Molecule: long non-coding RNA, 928 nt
Filed under: Parus major (Great Tit)
Lineage: Eukaryota; Metazoa; Chordata; Aves; Passeriformes; Paridae
Description: lncRNA (ENSPMJG00000013547.1)
Source: RNAcentral
AGUUCUCUGAUGACUUUUUUGUGGCUCUCCCCUAGACCCACCCCAAUAGUUCCAUGGCUUUCUUGUGGUGAGGGCCCUGGAGAUGGAUGCCAUUCUUCAGGUGGGGUCUCAGAAGAAGCCACAGGCAUCUGGAGCUUCCAAGAGCAGUGAGGAAGGUGACUGCAACCUUUCAUAAAAAGAGAAGCUCUACCAUGUCUUGUCACUGCAUGACCACAUCAGUUCAGUGACACUGUGGUGAAACAACUCUGUUCUUCAUCUCAGACCAAGAUCUCCUGUUUUUGUACCACCAGACAUCUUUGGAAAACAGCCCUUCUUCUUCUUUAGCCAUACCUAGGUAACCCAAAUCUUCUGGACAAAGACAUAAGCAGCAGGAUUGGUCGCAAGCCUGCUCCUGGUUCCGGUGUUAGCUGGUGGCCUGACCUGCCUGUUGUCUCUGCCAUCGUCCCACUGUGGGCGGGAAAGCAACGUGACACAAAAGGAGAGGAGCAGAGAAACUCCUGAAAUUCCUGGAGAAGCUAGGCUGCCCAACGCCAGGCGUGCCGGGCUGAGUGCACACACAACAGUAGUGCCUGUCAGACUCCCUGCCUCCAGCCUGGUUUUGCUUUCGCACACAGGUGUAGCAGUCGAUAUUCUGGGAAAAAGGCGGGGGGGAGGGGGGGGGGGUGUGGAUAUAUUCCUGAAACAAAAAAUACAGAUUUUAACGCGAUGCCCACGUUUCCACGAAGACUUGCCGCUGUGCACCCCGCACCGCCCGGGGAGUGGGGCUGCCUUCCCCAUGCUGGGCUCGUUCCGCAGGAGGAAAACCCAGGGACACCCACAACCGUCCAGCCCUUCUUCCUGAUCACAGCCGCUGCUAAUUUUAAAAGUUGUUUGUGCCGCCUCCGAGAGAAAAAAAAAAUAAAUGUCUGUAACAGAGGUGCCGAGAACA